UGGAAUGGCCGUGCACCUAUUUACCUAGGGUGCCAGGAGAAGGUAAGUGGCAUCCUAGGUAAGCGGUGAAAUGCGGUAGAUAUUAAGGAGGAUCACAGUGCGAAGCGCUACUGGACUGUACUGACGUUGAGCUCGAAAGCGUGGGGAGCAAACAGGAUCAGAUACCUGGUAGUCCACGCUGUAACGAUGAUACUAGGUGUCGGGGGCUAUAGCUCGGUGCCGCAGCAAACGCAAUAAGUAAUCCACCUGGGGAGUACGUUCGCAAGAAUGAAACUCUAAGGAAUGACGGGGACCCGCACAAGCGGUGGAGCAUGUGGUUUAAUUCGAAGCAACGCGAAGAACCUUACCAAAUCUUGACAUCCCUCUGACAGAGUAUGUAAUGUACUUUUCCUUCGGGACAGAGGAGACAGGUGGUGCAUGGUUGUCGUCAGCUCGUGUCGUGAGAUGUUGGGUUAAGUCCCGCAACGAGCGCAACCCUUGUCUUUAGUAGCCAGCAAGUUAAGUUGGGCACUCUAGAGAGACUGCCAGGGAUAACCUGGAGGAAGGUGGGGAUGACGUCAAAUCAUCAUGCCCCUUAUGAUUUGGGCUACACACGUGCUACAAUGGCGUAAACAAAGAGAAGCGACCCUGUGAAGGUGGAGCAAUUCUCAAAAAUAACGUCUCAGUUCGGAUUGUAGUCUGCAACUCGA
RNAcentral lists this ribosomal RNA (689 nucleotides) under uncultured bacterium. Its description in RNAcentral is "bacterial SSU rRNA". It matches the Rfam family "Bacterial small subunit ribosomal RNA", at positions 617 to 1315 of the family's 1533-position model. The record is from RNAcentral.